RNAcentral lists this ribosomal RNA (429 nucleotides) under Chloroflexota bacterium. RNAcentral describes it as "Chloroflexi bacterium partial 16S ribosomal RNA". It matches the Rfam family "Bacterial small subunit ribosomal RNA", at positions 355 to 776 of the family's 1533-position model. The record is from RNAcentral. Lineage: Bacteria; Bacillati; Chloroflexota.
UGGGGAAUAUUGCACAAUGGGCGCAAGCCUGAUGCAGCCAUGCCGCGUGUGUGAAGAAGGCCUUCGGGUUGUAAAGCACUUUCAGCGGGGAGGAAGGCGAUAAGGUUAAUAACCUUGUCGAUUGACGUUACCCGCAGAAGAAGCACCGGCUAACUCCGUGCCAGCAGCCGCGGUAAUACGGAGGGUGCAAGCGUUAAUCGGAAUUACUGGGCGUAAAGCGCACGCAGGCGGUCUGUCAAGUCGGAUGUGAAAUCCCCGGGCUCAACCUGGGCACUACAUUCGGAACUUGCAGGCUAGAGUCUUGUAGAGGGGGGUAGGAUUCCAGGUGUUGCGGUGAAAUGCGUAGAGAUCUGGAGGAAUACCGGUGGCGAAGGCGGCCCCCUGGACGAAGACUGACGCUCAGGUGCGAAAGCGUGGGGAGCAAACAGG